AACGAACGCUGGCGGCAUGCCUAACACAUGCAAGUCGAACGAGACCUUCGGGUCUAGUGGCGCACGGGUGCGUAACGCGUGGGAACCUGCCCUUAGGUUCGGAAUAACUCCCCGAAAGGGGUGCUAAUACCGGAUAAUGUCUUCGGACCAAAGAUUUAUCGCCUUUGGAUGGGCCCGCGUUGGAUUAGCUAGUUGGUAGGGUAAAAGCCUACCAAGGCGACGAUCCAUAGCUGGUCUGAGAGGAUGAUCAGCCACACUGGGACUGAGACACGGCCCAGACUCCUACGGGAGGCAGCAGUGGGGAAUAUUGGACAAUGGGCGAAAGCCUGAUCCAGCAAUGCCGCGUGAGUGAUGAAGGCCUUAGGGUGGUAAAGCUCUUUUACCCGGGAUGAUAAUGACAGUACCGGGAGAAUAAACUCCGGCUAACUCCGU
RNAcentral lists this ribosomal RNA (432 nucleotides) under uncultured bacterium. Its description in RNAcentral is "partial 16S ribosomal RNA". It matches the Rfam family "Bacterial small subunit ribosomal RNA", at positions 29 to 506 of the family's 1533-position model. The record is from RNAcentral.